CGAAUUCGCCCUUCCUACGGGAGGCAGCAGUGGGGAAUAUUGCGCAAUGGGCGGAAGCCUGACGCAGCGACGCCGCGUGAGGGAUGACGGCCUUCGGGUUGUAAACCUCUUUCGACCUUGACGAAGCCUUUCGGGGUGACGGUAGGGGUAGAAGAAGCACCGGCCAACUACGUGCCAACAGCCGCGGUAAUACGUAGGGUGCGAGCGUUGUCCGGAAUUAUUGGGCGUAAAGAGCUCGUAGGCGGUCUGUCGCGUCGGUCGUGAAAACUUGGGGCUUAACCCUGAGCUUGCGGUCGAUACGGGCAUGACUGGAGUUCGGCAGGGGAGACUGGAAUUCCUGGUGUAGCGGUGAAAUGCGCAGAUAUCAGGAGGAACACCGGUGGCGAAGGCGGGUCUCUGGGCCGAUACUGACGCUGAGGAGCGAAAGCGUGGGGAGCGAACAGGAUUAGAUACCCUGGUAGUCCACGCCGUAAACGGUGGGCGCUAGGUGUGGGGGCCAUUCCACGGUCUCUGUGCCGCAGCUAACGCAUUAAGCGCCCCGCCUGGGGAGUACGGCCGCAAGGCUAAAACUCAAAGGAAUUGACGG
Molecule: ribosomal RNA, 586 nt
Filed under: uncultured Pseudonocardia sp.
Lineage: Bacteria; Bacillati; Actinomycetota; Actinomycetes; Pseudonocardiales; Pseudonocardiaceae
Description: bacterial SSU rRNA
Rfam family: Bacterial small subunit ribosomal RNA
Source: RNAcentral